RNAcentral lists this small RNA (26 nucleotides) under Bombyx mori (domestic silkworm). RNAcentral's name for it is "piRNA piR-bmo-1711351". The record is from RNAcentral. Lineage: Eukaryota; Metazoa; Arthropoda; Insecta; Lepidoptera; Bombycidae.
UUUCUCGUAAGGCGUGUCAGGGGUUC